CUGCGGCGUAUCAGGUCGUAGGGGGUGUAACGUACCCUCUAGCCAUCGACGCGUACGGGUGUUGGGAGACAUAGCCCGGAGAUGGAUUCUGAGACACGAAUCCAGACCCUACGGGGUGCAGCAGGCGCGAAAACUUGGCAAUGCGAGAAAUCGUGACCAGGGAACUCCAAGUGGCUGGGGUAAGACCCAGUCUUUUCUUGACUCUUCAAAGGUCUUGGAAUAAGAGGUGGGUAAGGACGGUGCCAGCCGCCGCGGUAAUACCGGCGCCUCAAGUGGUAGUCGAUUUUAUUGGGCCUAAAACGUCCGUAGCCUGUUUGGUACAUUCGUGGGUAAAUCAAUCAGCUUAACUGGUUGAAUUCUGCGAGCACGGCCAGACUUGGGACCGGGAGAGGUGUGGGGUACGCUCAGGGUAGGGGUAAAAUCCUGUCAUCCUGAGCGGACCACCUGUUGCGAAGGCGCCACACUAGAACGGAUCCGACGGUCAGGGACGAAGCCUAGGGGCACGAACCGGAUUAGAUACCCGGGUAGUCCUAGGUGUAAACGCUGUGGACUUGGUGUUGGGGAUGAUCCGAUCAUUCUCAGUGCCGAAGCGAAGGUGAUAAGUCCACUGCCUGGGGAGUACGGUCGCAAGGCUGAAACUUAAAGGAAUUGGCGGGGGAGCACCGCAACCUGAGGAUUGUGCGGUUU
This 687-nucleotide ribosomal RNA is filed under the name uncultured euryarchaeote. Its description in RNAcentral is "bacterial SSU rRNA". It matches the Rfam family "Archaeal small subunit ribosomal RNA", at positions 215 to 903 of the family's 1478-position model. The record is from RNAcentral. Lineage: Archaea; Methanobacteriati; Methanobacteriota.